This 86-nucleotide small RNA is filed under the name Flavobacterium resistens. RNAcentral's name for it is "Flavo-1 RNA". It matches the Rfam family "Flavo-1 RNA". Lineage: Bacteria; Pseudomonadati; Bacteroidota; Flavobacteriia; Flavobacteriales; Flavobacteriaceae. The record is from RNAcentral.
UUUUAGCCCCGAUAGCAGUGAAAAUCCUUUUGUGUCUCGUUUCUUUAACGAGACAUAAAAGAUUGUAACGGAUAGCGGGAUUAGCU